This 214-nucleotide long non-coding RNA is filed under the name Nicotiana benthamiana. RNAcentral's name for it is "long non-coding RNA (NBEN_LNC031869)". Lineage: Eukaryota; Viridiplantae; Streptophyta; Magnoliopsida; Solanales; Solanaceae. The record is from RNAcentral.
AUUCCAAUGGCUUUGGCUACUCUAACCUUCCCGACCACGAUUUUUUCUUCUUUUUUUUAGGUAUUCACUGCGAAAUAAGAAAGAAAUAAAAAAUUGUAUUUUCCUAGGUAUCAAAAAUCUAGUAAAUAAAAGAAAUCAAAAAAUAAAUAGUGGGUUCCUUCGUUUCUAUGAUUACUUCUUAAACGGCGAGGUCUUCUCUAUACACCGGAGCCUU